UUAAGUUAUGUGUGUUUUAGUGGAACGCUCUGGGAAGUGCGAACGUAGAGGGUGAUAUUCCCGUACACGAAAGGGCACACAUAAUGAUGACGAGUAGGGCGAGGCACGUGAAACCUUGUCUGAAUAUGGGGGGACCAUCCUCCAAGGCUAAAUACUCCUGACUGACCGAUAGUGAACCAGUACCGUGAGGGAAAGGCGAAAAGAACCCCUGUGAGGGGAGUGAAAUAGAUCCUGAAACCGCAUGCAUACAAGCAGUGGGAGCACCUUCGUGGUGUGACUGCGUACCUUUUGUAUAAUGGGUCAGCGACUUAUAUUCAGUAGCGAGGUUAACCGUAUAGGGGAGCCGUAGAGAAAUCGAGUCUUAAUAGGGCGUUUAGUUGCUGGGUAUAGACCCGAAACCAGGCGAUCUAUCCAUGAGCAGGUUGAAGGUUGGGUAACACUAACUGGAGGACCGAACCCACUGUCGUUGAAAAGCCAGGGGAUGACUUGUGGAUAGGGGUGAAAGGCUAAUCAAGCCUGGUGAUAGCUGGUUCUCCCCGAAAGCUAUUUAGGUAGCGCCUCGGACGAAUACCAUAGGGGGUAGAGCACUGUUUCGGCUAGGGGGUCAUCCCGACUUACCAAACCGAUGCAAACUCCGAAUACCUAUGAGUACUAUCCGGGAGACAGACUGCGGGUGCUAACGUCCGUAGUCAAGAGGAAAACAAUCCAGACCGCCAGCUAAGGCCCCAAAAUCAUAGUUAAGUGGGAAACGAUGUGGGAAGGCAUAGACAGCUAGGAGGUUGGCUUAGAAGCAGCCACCCUUUAAAGAAAGCGUAAUAGCUCACUAGUCGAGUCGGCCUGCGCGGAAGAUGUAACGGGGCUAAAACUAUGUGCCGAAGCUGCGGAUGUAUACUUUGUAUACGUGGUAGGGGAGCGUUCUGUAAGCCGAUGAAGGUGUGUUGAGAAGCAUGCUGGAGGUAUCAGAAGUGCGAAUGCUGACGUGAGUAACGACAAAACGGGUGAAAAACCCGUUCGCCGAAAGACCAAGGGUUCCAGUCCAACGUUAAUCGGGGCUGGGUGAGUCGACCCCUAAGGCGAGGCCGAAAGGCGUAGUCGAUGGGAAAAUGGUUAAUAUUCCAUUACUUCUGUGUAAUGCGAUGAGAGGACGGAGAAGGCUAAAUCAGCCUGGCGUUGGUUGUCCAGGUGAAAGGAUGUAGGCAUGUAUCUUAGGCAAAUCCGGGGUACUCUAUGCUGAGAUCUGAUAGCAAGCUGUACUUGUACAGCGAAGUGGUUGAUGCCAUGCUUCCAGGAAAAGUCUCUAAGCUUCAGUUACACAGGAAUCGUACCCGAAACCGACACAGGUGGUCAGGUCGAGUAGACCAAGGCGCUUGAGAGAACUCUGCUGAAGGAACUAGGCAAAAUGGUACCGUAACUUCGGGAGAAGGUACGCUGUUGUUGGUGAUGGAACUCGCUUCCUGAGCUGACGACAGCCGCAGAAACCAGGCCGCUGCAACUGUUUAUUAAAAACAUAGCACUCUGCAAACACGAAAGUGGACGUAUAGGGUGUGAUGCCUGCCCGGUGCUGGAAGGUUAAUUGAUGGGGUUAGCGUAAGCGAAGCUCUUGAUCGAAGCCCCAGUAAACGGCGGCCGUAACUAUAACGGUCCUAAGGUAGCGAAAUUCCUUGUCGGGUAAGUUCCGACCUGCACGAAUGGCAUAAUGAUGGCGGCGCUGUCUCCAGCAGAGGCUCAGUGAAAUCGAAAUCGCUGUGAAGAUGCAGUGUACCCGCGGCUAGACGGAAAGACCCCGUGAACCUUUACUGCAGCUUGACACUGAACUUUGACCUUACUUGUGUAGGAUAGGUGGGAGGCUUUGAAGCUGGAACGCUAGUUCCAGUGGAGCCGUCCUUGAAAUACCACCCUGGUAAUGUUGAGGUUCUAACUCUGUCCCGUGAUCCGGGACGAGGACCGUGUCUGGUGGGUAGUUUGACUGGGGCGGUCUCCUCCUAAAGAGUAACGGAGGAGUACGAAGGUGCGCUCAGCGUGGUCGGAAAUCACGCGUAGAGUAUAAAGGCAAAAGCGCGCUUAACUGCGAGACCCACAAGUCGAGCAGGUACGAAAGUAGGUCUUAGUGAUCCGGUGGUUCUGUAUGGAAGGGCCAUCGCUCAACGGAUAAAAGGUACUCUGGGGAUAACAGGCUGAUACCGCCCAAGAGUUCAUAUCGACGGCGGUGUUUGGCACCUCGAUGUCGGCUCAUCUCAUCCUGGGGCUGAAGCAGGUCCCAAGGGUAUGGCUGUUCGCCAUUUAAAGAGGUACGCGAGCUGGGUUUAGAACGUCGUGAGACAGUUCGGUCCCUAUCUACCGUGGGCGCUGGAAAUUUGAGAGGAUCUGCUCCUAGUACGAGAGGACCAGAGUGGACGAACCUCUGGUGUACCGGUUGUGACGCCAGUCGCAUCGCCGGGUAGCUAUGUUCGGAAGGGAUAACCGCUGAAAGCAUCUAAGCGGGAAGCCUACCUCAAGAUAAGAUUUCCCUAGGACUUUAUGUCCUCUAAAGAGCCGUUCGAGACUAGGACGUUGAUAGGUUGGAUGUGGAAGCAUAGUGAUAUGUGAAGCUGACCAAUACUAAUUGCUCGUGAGGCUUGACUA
Molecule: ribosomal RNA, 2622 nt
Filed under: Acinetobacter baumannii 213697
Lineage: Bacteria; Pseudomonadati; Pseudomonadota; Gammaproteobacteria; Moraxellales; Moraxellaceae
Description: bacterial LSU rRNA
Rfam family: Bacterial large subunit ribosomal RNA
Source: RNAcentral